CAUGAGCACAUCAAUGCGGUCGUUUAGGGAUAUUUCCCCCACCCGUGGCUAUGUCUAAGGCAGGUGCCGCCAGAGCACCAAUAUUUCUGGUUCGAAAUCAUGAAGAUGACCCACUAGUGGGACUGUGACGAUGAAGCCAUGUUUCAGGUCAUCCACAUGUUGGCUGGAAAAUACAUCUGGAAGACCUUUUCGGUCACCCGGUCCAGCCUGGUCAGGCCAUUAUGGUUGUCCAACAAGGUCUUGCUCCAGCUUUAGGCAUACUGAGCCAGCAAGGACUUUCAGCAAGAGUCCUCAAAGAAUAAAACGAAUUGGGCGGCAAACCCCGCAGCGUCCUCGACUGUGUACCGAGAGGAUCUUCCUCAGUCGGCAUGCACAAGAGAAAAUUGGAGACAGAGCUCGGACGACCGCCCAAACAAAUGGAGUUAUUCAAGUGCUGCUAUAAGAAAAAAGAGGGCGAGGUUUGGAAUGGCCGAGGGCAGCG
Molecule: non-coding RNA, 481 nt
Organism: Sesamum indicum (sesame)
Lineage: Eukaryota; Viridiplantae; Streptophyta; Magnoliopsida; Lamiales; Pedaliaceae
Source: RefSeq, a predicted model, not a curated record